Molecule: ribosomal RNA, 464 nt
Filed under: Vreelandella stevensii
Lineage: Bacteria; Pseudomonadati; Pseudomonadota; Gammaproteobacteria; Oceanospirillales; Halomonadaceae
Description: partial 16S ribosomal RNA
Rfam family: Bacterial small subunit ribosomal RNA
Source: RNAcentral
CCUACGGGUGGCUGCAGUGGGGAAUAUUGGACAAUGGGCGAAAGCCUGAUCCAGCCAUGCCGCGUGUGUGAAGAAGGCCUUCGGGUUGUAAAGCACUUUCAGUGGGGAAGAAAGCCUUGGGGCUAAUACCCUCGAGGAAGGACAUCACCCACAGAAGAAGCACCGGCUAACUCCGUGCCAGCAGCCGCGGUAAUACGGAGGGUGCGAGCGUUAAUCGGAAUUACUGGGCGUAAAGCGCGCGUAGGCGGUCUGAUAAGCCGGUUGUGAAAGCCCCGGGCUCAACCUGGGAACGGCAUCCGGAACUGUCAGGCUAGAGUGCAGGAGAGGAAGGUAGAAUUCCCGGUGUAGCGGUGAAAUGCGUAGAGAUCGGGAGGAAUACCAGUGGCGAAGGCGGCCUUCUGGACUGACACUGACGCUGAGGUGCGAAAGCGUGGGUAGCAAACAGGAUUAAUACCCUUGUAGUC